This 66-nucleotide transfer RNA is filed under the name Elophila interruptalis. RNAcentral's name for it is "tRNA-Arg". The record is from RNAcentral. Lineage: Eukaryota; Metazoa; Arthropoda; Insecta; Lepidoptera; Crambidae.
UAAUAAGAAGCAAUAAUUGCAUUUAAUUUCGACUUAAAAGAUAGAGUUUAUUUGACUCCUUAUUAA